GCACGUAGAUACACGAGAGUCUACAUGCACGUAGAUGCACCUUUAACUGCAUCACUCAGAAAGGUGGGCUUGGGUGAGCAAUUAGUCACAAUACAUGUCAUAUUUUAUUUUAUUUGAUAGACAAAAAUAGUUUUGGUUUUACAAUUCAAACAAGGAAAUACACUGAGAAGAGAACAUCUGGGAAAAGAUCGAGCCAUUUGAUACGGAGAAAAACCACAAGCAGAGAAACACGUUCAACACCUCACUGUUACUUCAAGAGCUUUGGCAGUCAGAACAGGCAAGCGCUUCUCAAAAUCACCACUAACAGGAACAACUUGAUAUAUUAUCACUCAAAAAAAAUGUCUUUACAGAAACAAAAAAAGAAAAGAAAUUGGCAUCACCCUUUAAACAGAGCAUUUUAAUAUCUAGCCAUAAAACAACACAGUUUUAUACCACAAUGGAUAUCCAUCAUUUGAAUAAUAAAUGAAGCUUGCAGGACAGUAAAGCUUUAAAAGGUUUGCUUUGGAGAAGAUACUUUAAACCUGCGGAGUGAAAGUCUCCAAAUAAACAUAAUAGAAUAAACAUUCUUUCUGUGCUUCGACUGAAGGGCUGUUGUGCUCUUUUCAAAUACAACCAUCAACUGAAAAUAACUUCUGAUUCAGAUAAUGCAAAAUAUAUUUUGUAUUCUGCUAAUGACAACUUGAUGAAAUCACUAAAAUUACAAAAAUGCUUGAAGAUAUUUCGUUGCGUUUUAGCACGAAGGAAUGCAUCGACCAGCCGGAAACAGGAUGACGCAGAUGAUCAGGAGAGCACGGUGGAGGAGCCUCGUCGUAGCUGCUGGUGAAUGUGCGAAGCUUUGUGACCUCAGAGACCCGGCUGACCCGCCGAGGCUUUCUUUGUAAAAAUCUGAGCUCGAGCGGUACAUUGUCAGGAAGCACCUGCACUUCCUCUUCCUCUUCUUCAUCUGGCUAUCAUUGGCUGGCUUCGACCGUGCACAAAAGCGACAGCAAGCACAGUGUGUGUGUGUGUGUGUGUG
RNAcentral lists this long non-coding RNA (1015 nucleotides) under Cottoperca gobio. Its description in RNAcentral is "lncRNA (ENSCGOG00000010765.1)". Lineage: Eukaryota; Metazoa; Chordata; Actinopteri; Perciformes; Bovichtidae. The record is from RNAcentral.